GAUGAACGCUAGCGGCAGGCCUAAUACAUGCAAGCCGAACGGCAAGAACUUUAGCAAUAGAGUUCCUAGAGUGGCGUAAGGGUGCGUAACACGUAUGCAAUCUGCCCUCAACAGGAGGAUAGCUCCCCGAAAGGGGAAUUAAGACUCCAUAAGAUCAUUUUAUGGCAUCAUGAGAUGAUUAAACUACCAGGGGUUGAGGAUGAGCAUGCGCAUGAUUAGUUAGUUGGCGGGGUAACGGCCCACCAAGACGAUGAUCAUUAGGGGAAC
RNAcentral lists this ribosomal RNA (267 nucleotides) under uncultured bacterium. RNAcentral's name for it is "partial 16S ribosomal RNA". It matches the Rfam family "Bacterial small subunit ribosomal RNA", at positions 28 to 292 of the family's 1533-position model. The record is from RNAcentral.